UCGGGAAUUUUGGGCAAUGGGCGAAAGCCUGACCCAGCAACGCCGCGUGAAGGAUGAAGUAUUUCGGUAUGUAAACUUCGAAAGAAUAGGAAGAAUAAAUGACGGUACUAUUUAUAAGGUCCGGCUAACUACGUGCCAGCAGCCGCGGUAAUACGUAGGGACCAAGCGUUGUUCGGAUUUACUGGGCGUAAAGGGCGCGUAGGCGGCAAUUCAAGUCAUCUGUGAAAUCUCCGGGCUUAACUCGGAACGGUCAGAUGAUACUGCUUUGCUAGAGUGCAGAAGGGGCAUUCGGAAUUCUUGGUGUAGCGGUGAAAUGCGUAGAUAUCAAGAGGAACACCUGAGGUGAAGACGGGUUGCUGGGCUGACACUGACGCUGAGGCGCGAAAGCCAGGGGAGCAAACGGGGAUUAGAUACCCACGUAGUCCCUGAGCGGGCUGGCAAGGCGCAU
RNAcentral lists this ribosomal RNA (448 nucleotides) under uncultured bacterium. RNAcentral's name for it is "bacterial SSU rRNA". It matches the Rfam family "Bacterial small subunit ribosomal RNA", at positions 355 to 825 of the family's 1533-position model. The record is from RNAcentral.